RNAcentral lists this ribosomal RNA (1331 nucleotides) under uncultured bacterium. RNAcentral describes it as "bacterial SSU rRNA". It matches the Rfam family "Bacterial small subunit ribosomal RNA", at positions 36 to 1383 of the family's 1533-position model. The record is from RNAcentral.
CUGGCGGCGUGCCUAACACAUGCAAGUCGAACGGAGUAAUUUCUUCGGAGGUUACUUAGUGGCGAACGGGCGAGUAACGCGUGAGAAACCUGCCUUUCAGUGGGGGACAACAGUUGGAAACGACUGCUAAUACCGCAUAAUGUUAUUUGGGGGCAUCCCUGAAUAACCAAAGCUUAAUGUGCUGAAAGAUGGUCUCGCGUCUGAUUAGCUAGAUGGCGGGGUAACGGCCCACCAUGGCGACGAUCAGUAGCCGGUCUGAGAGGAUGAACGGCCACAUUGGGACUGAGAUACGGCCCAGACUCCUACGGGAGGCAGCAGUGGGGAAUAUUGGGCAAUGGGGGAAACCCUGACCCAGCAACGCCGCGUGAAGGAAGAAGGCCUUCGGGUUGUAAACUUCUUUUACCAGGGACGAAGAACGUGACGGUACCUGGAGAAAAAGCAACGGCUAACUACGUGCCAGCAGCCGCGGUAAUACGUAGGUUGCAAGCGUUGUCCGGAUUUACUGGGUGUAAAGGGCGUGUAGGCGGAGAUGCAAGUUGGGAGUGAAAUCCCGGGGCUCAACCCCGGAACUGCUUUCAAAACUGCAUCCCUUGAGUAUCGGAGAGGCAAGCGGAAUUCCUAGUGUAGCGGUGAAAUGCGUAGAUAUUAGGAGGAACACCAGUGGCGAAGGCGGCUUGCUGGACGACAACUGACGCUGAGGCGCGAAAGCGUGGGGAGCAAACAGGAUUAGAUACCCUGGUAGUCCACGCUGUAAACGAUGAAUACUAGGUGUGGGAGGACUGACCCCUUCCGUGCCGCAGUUAACACAAUAAGUAUUCCACCUGGGGAGUACGACCGCAAGGUUGAAACUCAAAGGAAUUGACGGGGGCCCGCACAAGCAGUGGAUUAUGUGGUUUAAUUCGACGCAACGCGAAGAACCUUACCCGGGCUCAAACGACUGAGGGAUGACCUUGAAAGGGGUCAGCCGGCAACGGCCUUAGUCGAGGUGCUGCAUGGUUGUCGUCAGCUCGUGCCGUGAGGUGUCGGCUUAAGUGCCAUAACGAGCGCAACCCCUAUCGAUAGUUGCUAACGAGUAAAGUUGAGGACUCUAUCGAGACUGCCGGCGCAAGCUGCGAGGAAGGCGGGGAUGACGUCAAAUCAGCACGGCCCUUACGUCCGGGGCGACACACGUGUUACAAUGGCGGGGACAGCGGGAAGCCACCUAGCGAUAGGGCGCGGAACCCGAAACCCCGUCUCAGUUCGGAUUGGAGUCUGCAACUCGACUCCAUGAAGCUGGAUUCGCUAGUAAUCGCGCAUCAGCCAUGGCGCGGUGAAUACGUUCCCGGGCCUUG